RNAcentral lists this ribosomal RNA (331 nucleotides) under Salmonella enterica. RNAcentral describes it as "partial 23S ribosomal RNA". It matches the Rfam family "Bacterial large subunit ribosomal RNA", at positions 161 to 530 of the family's 2925-position model. Lineage: Bacteria; Pseudomonadati; Pseudomonadota; Gammaproteobacteria; Enterobacterales; Enterobacteriaceae. The record is from RNAcentral. RNAcentral also lists the same sequence under 2 other names.
AAUCCAUAGGUUAAUGAGGCGAACCGGGGGAACUGAAACAUCUAAGUACCCCGAGGAAAAGAAAUCAACCGAGAUUCCCCCAGUAGCGGCGAGCGAACGGGGAGGAGCCCAGAGCCUGAAUCAGCAUGUGUGUUAGUGGAAGCGUCUGGAAAGGCGCGCGAUACAGGGUGACAGCCCCGUACACAAAAGCGCAUGUGCUGUGAGCUCGAUGAGUAGGGCGGGACACGUGGUAUCCUGUCUGAAUAUGGGGGGACCAUCCUCCAAGGCUAAAUACUCCUGACUGACCGAUAGUGAACCAGUACCGUGAGGGAAAGGCGAAAAGAACCCCGGC